CAGUCUAUCAUUAAGUCUUUUUAUUCUACCACUGAUUUCAUAGCGGUGUUUGAUAGGUCUAAAGAAAGGAGGAUUGGUUACCUUCAGCAAGCUGCCACCUUCGAAGAUGCAAAGAUCGAUGAUAUCGUCAGCGUCGUACAUGACAUCCUUCAACUCCCUCACCCAGGUGUCCAUGUCCGGAUCUACAUGCCUUCUUUGCUCUGCAGUGCGAAGAAAGCCUUUGAUCCUCGUCAACCUUCUCUCCAGAGUUUUGACCUCCGCCCCCACGUAUAGCACUUUGCAUAUCUCUCCCUCCGCGAAGUUGGUUAUCUUUUCGAGGAACCUUUCUACGAAAAACUCUAACACCAUUGCCAUCUCGUAACACAGCUCAAGAAGAUCUAAGGCAGUGUCUCCAAAGUGAAGAUCUGAUUCCUCAUUUAUAGAGAUAAGAUCAGAAUCAGGGCCCCAUUUCCGUAAGAGAAGUCUUCCACAGCAUGCAUGCACCUAUUGGUCCAAUUUCCUACUUCUUUGACACUGUUAUGAAAUAAAUAGUCUGCCUUAUUUUCUUAUGACUUGUUGCUGUUUGUUUAUUAUGUGAUGAAAUAAAGCAACAAUAUAUAUAUAUAUAUAUAUAUUAUGCUAAGAAAAACUUACGUGACAAACAUUGUAGAGUGGAAAGAGCAACAAAGAAUAUAGAAUGGAGACAAACAUAUUCUUAUUCAAGUGUAUAUUUGAGAAAAAUACAUAAACAUUUAAAAGAAUAUAGAAUGGAGCAACUUUUAAAACAAACUAGUCACGAAUGUAUAUUACAAAUAAUAGAUAAUGUAAAACUAAUACAUGCAAAGUACCAAAUAUCAAUCUAAUGAACAUGCAAUCGCAAGUUCUGUGGAAGUAACGAGAAUAGUGUUGUUAAAGCUUUCACCACUUACAGAAAGUUUGAUUGUGCCGUCCCACAAGCCGGGGCAAAAACCUUGCCUGCCCUUAUCCCCAGGAGAGAGUACUAUUUCCAAGGUAUAAUAAGAUUUUAGCUGAGGUAAAUCUAUUAGGACUAGAAUUGACAACCUAUUACUCAUGAAUAGAGUAGUAAUUAGACUAGUGAUGAUAACAUUAUUGUGGCUAGCGAGGUCAAGGAACUCACUGGUUCAUCUAAUAUAUUAUAAAUAUAAGUAAGUUGGUCAUGAAAUGUUCCGUAGUUUCUAUGACAUGGUCAUCUUUGUUUAAUUCUCACCAUCUACUCUAUCAAUGAAAAGCCGCAUUGAAUUCCUAUACCAGAUCUCAUCCUGUUAUUCCUCUCGAUUCCAAUGGCAGGCAUGGUAAGCUAUCAUCUAAAUGCUCUUUCCUUAUGACUUGGUCCUCGCCAUUCCAUAUGCCAGCACCUUUCACACUGUAUAUGUGAUGAAAUAAAUAGUCUGCAUGCUGUCAAAACAUGUGUUUGGAAACUCAUCACCAUUUCUCUCUACAGCUCAAGAAUAACUAGUUGAUUGGUUGUGACUUGGUCGUCGUUGUUUAAUUGCCCAGCCCUUACUCUUCUAUCAAAGAUAAGUCGGAGAUGUUAAUGCUCGACUCCCACCGAUUCAAAGUCAAGCCUCACCCUUGAUUUUGAUGUAUGUAAAUUUUCCCAGUAAAGUUUCAAAUACGAGACUGCUCUUUCCAGAACCAAGGCAGCUUCUUCCCAUCUUCUUGUGUCAAUUCCGAGCUCAUAAAGCUGGUGUCAAUUGUGAUGCCCCCUACCAAAGAAAAGUUGGAGACGUUAAUGCCCAACUCCCACCGAUUCAGAGUCGAGCCUCACCCUUGAUUUUGAUGUAUGUGAAUUUUCCGAAGAAAGUUCCAAAUACGAGACUGCUCUUUCCAAAACCAAGCACCUUCUUUCCAUCCUCUUGUGUCAAUUCCGAGCUCAUCAAGCUGGUGUCAAAUGUGAUGCCCUCUAACUUAGGGUGUUGGAGUGGGGGUUUUUGGUCGACUCUCGGCACCCUUUUUUGUUUAUUUUGCUGGCAAGUCUUUGCUUGUUGCAUUCAUUUAUAGUUACAUGUAAGUUCUUUGGGCAAAACUGGCAUUAGCCUCUAUGGAAUGUCAAAUAAAUGUGCUACAAUAAAAAAUUAGCAAUCACGGAUGAGUUCUACCAUUUUUUCUUUCUGUUUCAUCCUGUUUAACUCAAGAUUUGAUUGUUUGAAACGAAUAUAAAUUACAAGUCAAUAGAGGUUCAUCUUUUUGCAUUUGUCAUAGUUUAACCUUGAUCGAUAUCAUACUCAUUCGACUCUAGAGAUAUUAAAUCCCAUAGGAUUGCGUUAGAACGGUUCCCCUCCGAUGUUUAAAUUAAUUUUGAAUUCCUACACCAGAUCUUAGCCUGUUCUUCCUCUCGAUUCCAACGGCAGGCAUGGUAGGCUCUCAUCUAAAUGCUAUUUCUUUAUGACUCCGUCCUCUGGAUUCCAUAUGACAGCUCCCUUCACCCUGCAUAUGUGAUGAAAUAAAUAGUCUGCAUGCUGCACGCGGUGGUUUGUCGCAACAUGUUUUUGGAAACUCAUCACCAUUUCUCACUGCAGCUCAAGAAUGACUAAUUGAUGGUCUCUAGGAUGAUGCAGUUUGUGUUAUCCUUGAUUUGUUGUGACUCGCUCAUCAUUGAUAAAUUGCCAGCCCCCUGCGCUACCAAAGAAAAGUCGGAGAUGUUGAUGCCCAACUCCCACCGACACCAGCUUUGGAUUCCCAGACAAGGCACCUUCUUCCCUGUGUCGAUUCCGAGCUCAUCAAGCUCGUGUCAAAUGUGAUGUCCUCUACCAAAGAAAAGUCGGAGAUGUUGAUGGCCAACUCCCACCGACACCAGCUUUGGAUUCCCAGACAAGGCACCUUCUUCCCAUCCACUUGUGUCGAUUCCGAGCUCAUCAAGCUCGUGUCAAAUGUGAUGCCCUCUAACUUGGGUGUUGGACGGGGGUUUAGGUCGACCCUCGACAUUCUUCUUUGUUUAGCUUGUUGGUUAAUCUUUGCUUGCUGCAUUCAUUUACAGUUACAUGUUACUUUUUGGGCAAAACUGGCAUUAGCCUUUGUGGAAUGUCAUAUAAAUGUGUUAAAUUAACAAUCACGUAUGAGUUACUACUAUUUUUUGCAUUCUUAUUCAUCCUGCUUAACUCAAAAUUUGAUUAUUCGAUACAAAUGUUGAUUAUGAGUCAAUCAACGUUUAUCUUUUGCAUCUAUCAUAGUUUAAUCUUGACGGACACCACAUUCCACAAUUAGUUUAGAUUUAGUAGAUUAUAUCAGUGUUUUAAACAAUAUUAGGAAAAAUAUUUGGAACAUAUUUUAGAGAGCUCAUUUAUAAUGGGCUCUCGUAGCCAUUACUUCUAUAAUUGACACCUAUUAUGAAAAACGAUUGCACGUUUGUCCUAGGCUUAAUCACAAUUAUGUUGCAUUGAUAUUAAGGUGACACCACAUGGCAUUAAGGUAUUGGUCAACAUGACACUAAGGCGGUGGCCAUAUAAGACUAUGGUAUUGAUCACUUGAUGCUAAGGUAUUAUUUAUAUGUUUUUGAUGUGUCAACUAUAUGACACAAUAAAGAAGACUUAGAAUGUAUCAACUAAUUCGAAAAGAAGACAACACCUUGAUUCAUUAUUUAAUCAUGCCACAAGACUACUUGAAUUAUAUAUUUACAUAAUAAUUGAGUUUGUUCGAUCUACAAGGUAUAUUUCUUAAAUAUUGUAAACAUUGCUUAGUUAUAAAAACAUAUAGAGUUGCCUUUCAUACUUAUUCAACAUCUAGAAGAUCAAAUAUUAUUGAUAUGAUUCACACUGAUGUCUGUACUAUACAAAACUGAUGUCUGUACUAUGCAAACUAGAAUUCUUAGAUGUACCCUUUAUUUUGUUACUUUCAUUGAUGAAAAGUUUGGGUAUUUGCUUUAAAAUCUAAAGACUAGGUACUCGAUGUUUUCAAAGAAUUUCAUGUCAUUAUUAAAAGAGAAAAUAGUAGAAAACUAAAGUGUGUUCAAGUAGAUAAUGGUGACGAGUACAGGGGUUCUUUUGAGAAUUAUUAUAGGUUCCAUAGUAUCAGGCUUGAUAAAACAGUUUCUAAAACUUCUCAGCAAAACAGUAUGAAAGAAAGGAUAAACAAAACUAUUGAAGAAAGAAUUAGGUGUAUGUUUUGCCAUGCUAAGUUAUCUAAGUCAUUUUGGGGGGAGGCUAUAAGAACUAUGAUUGAUAUAAUAAAUCUUUCUUCAUCAGUUUCUCCGAAAGGUGAUGUUCCAGAGAAAGUAUGGAAAGGAAAAUAUAUAUCUUAUAAUCACUUGAGAGUUUUUGGGUGUUAAGCAUUUGGUUAUAUUCCCAAAGAUGAGAGGUCCAAGCUUGAUAAUAAGGUAAAAGUAUGAAUCGAUAUAGUCACGAAGAGUUUGGGUACAGAUUAUGAGAUCCAGUGAACAAGAAGAUUAUUAGAAGCAUAGAUAUUAUGUUUCUUGAAAAUCAAUUAUUUGAUAAUGGUGAUAAUGUUGGGAAGCUCAAAACCUCUAUUUAUAUUCUUUAGAGUUUGGGUUCAAUUCGUUUACUUAUAGUUCAUGAUAAUCAUAUGGGAGAUGAACAAGAUAAUCGUGUUGAGAAUGCUAGUAAUGAUGCUCCUAUAGUUGAUGAUAUUAAACUAACUAAAAAAUAUCUCUAACUAAGAAACAUCUCUACCACUAGUUGAGAUUCUAUUGAGAAGAAACAAAUCUUCGACUCCAUACUUCGUCCAAACACCAUAAACAAAUUUCUCAACAAGUGAGAAACAAGUCUAGGUUCAAGUUCCGCCCUCCUCUCAGCUCCUUCAACCCUUCCUCCUACGCUUCUAAUCAUUUCUUUGAGCAAAUCAGUCUCUGAAUAGUUCUUCGUGACGCACAACCAUGCUCGAAUCGGAUAGUUUUGUAUGAUCCUUUCAUCAUUGAAUACUUUACGCGCUAGAGUGGUCUUCCCAAUCCCACCCAUCCCGACAAUCCCAAAAACAACACACGUUGGAUUCUCACUGAUCUCUAUUAUGGAUUUGAUCAGAUUUUGGGCAGGGCCUAUGAUUUGGGUUCCUAUGAUAUCUGCCUUAACCUCUAUGGAAGAUGUCUCACGAGAUCUUACCGGGUGAAUUGGGAUGUCUUUUUCAGCGAUCUCUACAUCAGGUAUUAUAGAUCUAUCUUCCGUGAGCUCUUUCAGUGUUGCUUACCGGGUGAUUUGAUAGCGGUGUUUGAUAGAUCCAAAGUAAGAAGAACUUCGCGAGCUGGAAGGAUUGCUUACCGCAAAAGUCGUCGAUGCCCGGCUCUUCAGCAAGCUGCCACCUUCGAUGACGCAAAGAUCGAUGAUAUCAUCGGCGUCGUACUUGACAUGCCUCCUUCAACUCCCUCACCCUGGUGUCCAUUGCUGGAUCUACAUGCCUCCUUUGCUCUGCAGUGCGAAGAAAGCCUUUGAUCCUCGUCAACCUUCUCUCGAGCAUUUCGACCUCCGCCCUCACGCAUAGCACUUUGCAUAUCUCUCCCUCCGCAAAGUUGGCUAUCUUUUGGAGGAACCUUUCUACGAAAAACUCUAACACCAUUGCCAUCUCGUAACACGGCUCAAGAAGAUCCAAGUGAGUGUCUACAAAUUGAAGGUCUGUUUCCUCUGAUACGAUCUACGUCGAGCAUAAAUAUGUUCCGGAAUCAAGGCCCGAUUUCCGAUAAGGGAGGAGUCUUCGACAGCAUGCAUGUGCCCAUUGGUCCAAUUGCCAGCUUCUUCAACACUCUACAUGUCAUGAAAUAAAUAAUCUGCCUUAUUUUCUUAUGAUUUGUCGGUCUUUGUUUAUUAUGUGAUGAAAUAAAUAGUCUGCAUGUGACUCGUGUGGCAACAUUAUAUUAUAUAUAUAGAAACUCA
RNAcentral lists this long non-coding RNA (5816 nucleotides) under Musa acuminata (dwarf banana). Its description in RNAcentral is "long non-coding RNA (MACU_LNC000224)". The record is from RNAcentral. Lineage: Eukaryota; Viridiplantae; Streptophyta; Magnoliopsida; Zingiberales; Musaceae.